CACGUAGGGUGCGAGCGUUGUCCGGAAUUAUUGGGCGUAAAGAGCUCGUAGGCGGUGUGUCGCGUCGGCCGUGAAAACCUGCAGCUUAACUGUGGGCUUGCGGUCGAUACGGGCAUCACUGGAGUUCGGCAGGGGAGACUGGAAGUUCCUGGUGUAGCGGUGAAAUGACGCAGAUAUCAGGAGGAACACCGGUGGCGAAGGCGAGUCCCUGGACAACUCCUGACACUGAGGCACGAAAGCUAGGGGAGCAAACAGG
Molecule: ribosomal RNA, 256 nt
Filed under: uncultured bacterium
Lineage: Bacteria
Description: partial 16S ribosomal RNA
Rfam family: Bacterial small subunit ribosomal RNA
Source: RNAcentral